GACGAACGCUGGCGGCGUGCUUAACACAUGCAAGUCGAACGGUGACGAAUGGAGCUUGCUCUGUUCUGAUCAGUGGCGAACGGGUGAGUAACACGUGAGUAACCUGCCCCUGACUCUGGAAUAACUUCGGGAAACCGAAGCUAAUACCGGAUAUGACACAGAGCCGCAUGGUUUCUGUGUGGAAAGUUUUUCGGUUGGGGAUGGACUCGCGGCCUAUCAGCUUGUUGGUGAGGUAAUGGCUCACCAAGGCGACGACGGGUAGCCGGCCUGAGAGGCGACCGGCCACACUGGGACUGAGACACGGCCCAGACUCCUACGGGAGGCAGCAGUGGGGAAUAUUGCACAAUGGGCGAAAGCCUGAUGCAGCGACGCCGCGUGAGGGA
RNAcentral lists this ribosomal RNA (383 nucleotides) under uncultured bacterium. Its description in RNAcentral is "bacterial SSU rRNA". It matches the Rfam family "Bacterial small subunit ribosomal RNA", at positions 28 to 408 of the family's 1533-position model. The record is from RNAcentral.